Molecule: ribosomal RNA, 703 nt
Filed under: Miconia aliquantula
Lineage: Eukaryota; Viridiplantae; Streptophyta; Magnoliopsida; Myrtales; Melastomataceae
Description: eukaryotic LSU rRNA
Rfam family: Eukaryotic large subunit ribosomal RNA (bases 540-703)
Source: RNAcentral
AGAGUACUCGAUACCCGCGUCGUACCGGCGGACAAACAACGUCAGCACGGAUCGUGCCAAGGAGCCGCAUACAGAGAAUCGUCGUCCCACGCCUUCGAUAGUCCUCGAUGCGGGACGGGGGCCGGGGGACGUGCGCAAUCUCUGCUCAAGUCUAAACGACUCUCGGCAACGGAUAUCUCGGCUCUUGCAUCGAUGAAGAACGUAGCGAAAUGCGAUACUGGUGUGAAUUGCAGAACCCGCGAACCAUCAAUUCUUUGAACGCAAGUUGCGCCCGAAGCCAUUCGGCCGAGGGCACGCCUGCCUGGGUGUGUCAAUCCCCUUGCCCCUGGGCACCCGCAUGAGCAUUGGCGGGGAUAUAUAUGCUCGGGCGCAGAAUAUGGUCUCCCGUGGGAUCGGCAUGCACGGCAUGUCGAGGUGCGGUUGGCCGAAAAUCGAGCAUGGCGGUGACGGGCACCACGGCGUUCGGUGGAUCGAGUGAGAUUGGCUGCGCCGUGGGCCCGGCAUGCUGGCGGGCUCCGGACUUUGGAAAUCCCCGAGUGCGAUCCCAGGUCAGGCGGGGCUACCCGCUGAGUUUAAGCAUAUCAAUAAGCGGAGGAAAAGAAACUAACGAGGAUUCCCUUAGUAGCGGCGAGCGAACCGGGAAGAGCCCAGCGUGAAAAUCGUCCGUCGUCGGCGGCCGAAUUGUAGUCUGGAGAAGCGUCCU